CAAGCCUGAGGAGAGUUUGUCUUUGCUGCUCCUCCUUUUGUUGGCCCCUUCACUCAAUCUUUUAAACAGCACUUCUCAAGUAACAGCCCACCUCUCUAUUCUUCAAAGAGUAUCCAUGAUGUUCAGUGUGCCCACAAUUGAGCAGAUAAGCUAUCUCUUGGUUGUGUUUGCAGUUACUGUUUUUCCCCAGGAGGUCAUGGUACCAUUUGUGGUGCUAAGGGGCCCAGCUCAAGCUCAGCCCUAGAAUGCACAGAGCAACAACAGUAUAGCAGAAGGAAGGUCCUCAUCCUUAAGUCUUUAAGUCAGGCUAUUUGAUUUUUUCUCCCUGCUCUCUCUUCCUCUACACACACACACACACACACACACACACACACAC
This 376-nucleotide long non-coding RNA is filed under the name Rattus norvegicus (Norway rat). RNAcentral describes it as "long non-coding RNA NONRATT002865". The record is from RNAcentral. Lineage: Eukaryota; Metazoa; Chordata; Mammalia; Rodentia; Muridae.